GAUGAAGAACGUAGCGAAAUGCGAUACGUAAUGUGAAUUGCAGAAUUCAGUGAAUCAUCGAAUCUUUGAACGCAUAUUGCGCUCUUUGGUAUUCCGAAGAGCAUGCUUGUUUGAGUAUCAGUAAACACCUCAAAGCUUUUGGAUUUUUUAAUCGAAAAGCUUUGGACUUGAGCAAUCCCAACACCAAUCUUCUUGAGAUCGGUGGCGGGUUGCUUGAAAUGCAGGUGCAGCUGGACAUUCUCCUGAGCUAAAAGCAUAUUCAUUUAGUCCCGUCAAACGGAUUAUUACUUUUGCUGCAGCUAACAUAAAGGGAGUUUGACCGUAUUGGCUGACUGAUGCAGGAUUUCACAAGGGUCGGCAACGAUUCUUGUUAAACUCGAUCUCAAAUCAAGUAAGACUACCCGCUGAACUUAAGCAUAUCAAUAAGCGGAGGA
Molecule: unclassified non-coding RNA, 434 nt
Filed under: soil metagenome
Description: partial contains 5.8S ribosomal RNA, internal transcribed spacer 2, and large subunit ribosomal RNA
Rfam family: 5.8S ribosomal RNA (bases 1-120)
Source: RNAcentral